This 82-nucleotide non-coding RNA is filed under the name Geosporobacter ferrireducens. RNAcentral describes it as "c-di-GMP-II sequence". It matches the Rfam family "Cyclic di-GMP-II riboswitch aptamer". Lineage: Bacteria; Bacillati; Bacillota; Clostridia; Peptostreptococcales; Thermotaleaceae. The record is from RNAcentral.
AAAACUUGGGGUAGCUGAGAAGUAUAGUCCGUAUAUGGACACUUGGGCUAUAUGGAGCUAGUAGUGUAACCGACCCUCUUGC